UCUCCGUUGGUGAACCAGCGGAGGGAUCAUUACCGAGUUUACAACUCCCAAACCCCUGUGAACAUACCUAUCGUUGCCUCGGCGGUGCCCGCUCCGGCGGCCCGCCAGAGGACCCCCAAACUCUUGCUUUAUACAGUAUCUUCUGAGUAACACGAUUAAAUAAAUCAAAACUUUCAACAACGGAUCUCUUGGUUCUG
RNAcentral lists this unclassified non-coding RNA (197 nucleotides) under plant metagenome. RNAcentral describes it as "partial contains small subunit ribosomal RNA, internal transcribed spacer 1, and 5.8S ribosomal RNA". The record is from RNAcentral.